Molecule: unclassified non-coding RNA, 406 nt
Filed under: soil metagenome
Description: partial contains 5.8S ribosomal RNA, internal transcribed spacer 2, and large subunit ribosomal RNA
Rfam family: 5.8S ribosomal RNA (bases 1-121)
Source: RNAcentral
GAUGAAGAACGUAGCGAAAUGCGAUAAGUAAUGUGAAUUGCAGAAUUCAGUGAAUCAUCGAAUCUUUGAACGCACCUUGCGCCCUUUGGCCAUUCCGAAGGGCAUGCCUGUUUGAGUAUCAUGAACACCUCAACUCUUCAAGGUUUUCCAUGAUGAGCUUGGACUUUGGGGGUCUUGCUGGCCUGUGGGUCGGCUCCUCUCAAAUGAAUCAGCUUGCCGGUUUUUGGUGGGCAUCACAGGUGUGAUAACUAUCUACGCUUGUGGUUUUCCACCAGGGUAACCUUCAGCAGUGGAGGUUCACUGGAGCUUACAAAUGUCUCUCCUCUGUGAGGACAGCCCUUUGAAUGUUUGAUCUCAAAUCAGGUAGGACUACCCGCUGAACUUAAGCAUAUCAAUAAGCGGAGGA